This 1149-nucleotide ribosomal RNA is filed under the name Diaporthe eres. RNAcentral describes it as "partial large subunit ribosomal RNA". It matches the Rfam family "Eukaryotic large subunit ribosomal RNA", at positions 131 to 1307 of the family's 3401-position model. Lineage: Eukaryota; Fungi; Ascomycota; Sordariomycetes; Diaporthales; Diaporthaceae. The record is from RNAcentral.
CUUCGGCCCGAGUUGUAAUUUGCAGAGGAUGCUUCUGGCGCGGUGCCUUCCGAGUUCCCUGGAACGGGACGCCACAGAGGGUGAGAGCCCCGUAUGGUCGGACACCAAGCCUGUGUGAAGCUCCUUCGACGAGUCGAGUAGUUUGGGAAUGCUGCUCUAAAUGGGAGGUAAAUCUCUUCUAAAGCUAAAUACCGGCCAGAGACCGAUAGCGCACAAGUAGAGUGAUCGAAAGAUGAAAAGCACCUUGAAAAGGGGGUUAAAUAGUACGUGAAAUUGUUGAAAGGGAAGCACUUAUGACCAGACUUGGGCCGGGCGGCUCAUCAGGGGUUCUCCCCUGUGCACUCCGCCCGGCACAGGCCAGCAUCGGUUCUCGUGGGGGGAUAAGACCGUCAGGAACGUAGCACCCUCCGGGGUGUGUUAUAGCCUGGCGGACGAUACCCCCGUGGGGACCGAGGUCCGCGCUCCGCAAGGAUGCUGGCGUAAUGGUCAUCAGUGACCCGUCUUGAAACACGGACCAAGGAGUCGUCCAUUAGAGCGAGCGUUUGGGUGUAAAACCCGCACGCGUAAUGAAAGUGAACGCAGGUGAGAGCUUCGGCGCAUCAUCGACCGAUCCUGAUGUUCUCGGAAGGAUUUGAGUAAGAGUUUUAACGGACGGACCCGAAAGACAGUGAACUAUGCUUGUAUAGGGUGAAGCCAGAGGAAACUCUGGUGGAGGCUCGCAGCGGUUCUGACGUGCAAAUCGAUCGUCAAAUAUGAGCAUGGGGGCGAAAGACUAAUCGAACUGUCUAGUAGCUGGUUACCGCCGAAGUUUCCCUCAGGAUAGCAGUGUUGAUCUUCAGUUUUAUGAGGUAAAGCGAAUGAUUAGGGACUCGGGGGCUAUAUAUUGCCUUCAUCCAUUCUCAAACUUUAAAUAUGUAAGAAGCCCUUGUUACUUAAUUGAACGUGGGCAUUCGAAUGUACCAACACUAGUGGGCCAUUUUUGGUAAGCAGAACUGGCGAUGCGGGAUGAACCGAACGCGGGGUUAAGGCGCCAGAGUGUACGCUCAUCAGACACCACAAAAGGCGUUAGUACAUCUUGACAGCAGGACGGUGGCCAUGGAAGUCGGAAUCCGCUAAGGACUGUGUAACAACUCACCUGCCGAAUGUACU